This 253-nucleotide ribosomal RNA is filed under the name uncultured bacterium. Its description in RNAcentral is "partial 16S ribosomal RNA". It matches the Rfam family "Archaeal small subunit ribosomal RNA", at positions 474 to 727 of the family's 1478-position model. The record is from RNAcentral. RNAcentral also lists the same sequence under 1 other name.
UACCAGCACCCCGAGUGGUCGGGACGUUUAUUGGGCCUAAAGCAUCCGUAGCCGGUUCUACAAGUCUUCCGUUAAAUCCACCUGCUCAACAGAUGGGCUGCGGAAGAUACUAUGGAGCUAGGAGGCGGGAGAGGCAAGCGGUACUCGAUGGGUAGGGGUAAAAUCCGUUGAUCCAUUGAAGACCACCAGUGGCGAAGGCGGCUUGCCAGAACGCGCUCGACGGUGAGGGAUGAAAGCUGGGGGAGCAAACCGG